This is a non-coding RNA of Paramuricea clavata, 294 nucleotides long. NCBI's taxonomy places the organism in Eukaryota, Metazoa, Cnidaria, Anthozoa, Malacalcyonacea, Plexauridae. The record is from the annotation of a GenBank genome assembly.
CAAAUGUUAUGAACUUGAAAAUAUAUACUGACAAUUAAUGUAUUAGGGACUGAUCAUUAUUUAUGGAAGGGGAAUAUUUUCUUCCCUAAAUUUUAAAAAUUGAAAGACCCCCCUAAGAAAGCAGAAAUUCAAGGGUGACCCCCCUCCUAUUACAACAUUUUUCUUUGACCCCCACCCCACCCCCCUUCCAAAAAUAAUGACCGGUCCCUUCGCCUGUAUUUAUCUGUAUUUUAUAUACUGUAGGUACUGGUAGCCAAGAAUUAUUAAUAAGAAGUAUUGUAAUAUUCAUGUACC